Molecule: ribosomal RNA, 218 nt
Filed under: uncultured bacterium
Lineage: Bacteria
Description: partial 16S ribosomal RNA
Rfam family: Bacterial small subunit ribosomal RNA
Source: RNAcentral
UAGUCUGGGAAACUGCCUGAUGGAGGGGGAUAACUACUGGAAACGGUAGCUAAUACCGCAUAAUGUCGCAGGACCAAAGUGGGGGACCUUCGGGCCUCAUGCCAUCAGAUGUGCCCAGAUGGGAUUAGCUAGUAGGUGGGGUAAUGGCUCACCUAGGCGACGAUCCCUAGCUGGUCUGAGAGGAUGACCAGCCACACUGGAACUGAGACACGGUCCAG